This 493-nucleotide ribosomal RNA is filed under the name uncultured bacterium. Its description in RNAcentral is "bacterial SSU rRNA". It matches the Rfam family "Bacterial small subunit ribosomal RNA", at positions 903 to 1397 of the family's 1533-position model. The record is from RNAcentral.
AAAGGAAUAGACGGGGACCCGCACAAGCGGUGGAGCAUGUGGUUUAAUUCGACGCAACGCGAAGAACCUUACCCGGGCUUGACAUCCGGGCGACCGGGCGGUAACGCGCCCUUCCCUUCGGGGCGCCCGAGACAGGUGGUGCAUGGUUGUCGUCAGCUCGUGUCGUGAGAUGUUGGGUUAAGUCCCGCAACGAGCGCAACCCUUGCCCCCAUUAGCCAGCAUUAGGUUGGGUACUUUGGGGGGACUGCCGGGGACAACCCGGAGGAAGGCGGGGAUGAUGUCAAAUCAUCAUGCCCCUUAUGCCCGGGGCCACACACGUGCUACAAUGGCGCCGACAGCGGGAAGCGAAGGGGCGACCCGGAGCAAACCCCCGAAAAGGCGUCCCAGUUCGGAUUGCAGGCUGCAACCCGCCUGCAUGAAGCCGGAAUCGCUAGUAAUCGCGGAUCAGCAUGCCGCGGUGAAUACGUUCCCGGGUCUUGUACACACCGCCCGU